This 460-nucleotide ribosomal RNA is filed under the name uncultured bacterium. RNAcentral's name for it is "partial 16S ribosomal RNA". It matches the Rfam family "Bacterial small subunit ribosomal RNA", at positions 338 to 795 of the family's 1533-position model. The record is from RNAcentral.
CCUACGGGUGGCAGCAGUGAGGAAUAUUGGUCAAUGGACGAGAGUCUGAACCAGCCAAGUAGCGUGAAGGAUGACUGCCCUAUGGGUUGUAAACUUCUUUUAUAAAGGAAUAAAACGAGGCACGUGUGCCUUUCUGCAUGUACUUUAUGAAUAAGGAUCGGCUAACUCCGUGCCAGCAGCCGCGGUAAUACGGAGGAUCCGAGCGUUAUCCGGAUUUAUUGGGUUUAAAGGGAGCGUAGAUGGGUUGUUAAGUCAGUUGUGAAAUUUUGGGGCUUAACCGUAAAAUUGCAAUUGAUACUGGCAGUCUUGAGUACAGUUGAGGUAGGCGGAAUGCGUGGUGUAGCGGUGAAAUGCUGAGAGAUCACGAAGAACCCCGAUUGCGAAGGCAGCUUACUAAACUGUGACUGACAUUGAGGCUCGAAAGUGUGGGUAUCAAACAGGAUUAGAUACCCGGGUAGUC